This 498-nucleotide ribosomal RNA is filed under the name uncultured bacterium. RNAcentral describes it as "partial 16S ribosomal RNA". It matches the Rfam family "Bacterial small subunit ribosomal RNA", at positions 28 to 507 of the family's 1533-position model. The record is from RNAcentral.
GACGAACGCUGGCGGCGUGCCUAAUACAUGCAAGUCGAGCGGACGAAUCGAAAGCUUGCUUUUGAUUCGUUAGCGGCGGACGGGUGAGUAACACGUGGGCAACCUGCCCUGUAGACGGGGAUAACACCGAGAAAUCGGUGCUAAUACCGGAUAACACGAAAUGUCGCAUGACGUUUCGUUGAAAGACGGCGCAAGCUGUCGCUACAGGAUGGGCCCGCGGCGCAUUAGCUAGUUGGUGAGGUAACGGCUCACCAAGGCGACGAUGCGUAGCCGACCUGAGAGGGUGAUCGGCCACACUGGGACUGAGACACGGCCCAGACUCCUACGGGAGGCAGCAGUAGGGAAUCUUCCGCAAUGGACGAAAGUCUGACGGAGCAAUGCCGCGUGAGCGAAGAAGGCCUUCGGGUCGUAAAGCUCUGUUGUUAGGGAAGAACAAGUAACGCAGUAACUGGCGUUACCGUGACGGUACCUAACGAGAAAGCCACGGCUAACUACGUG